Molecule: ribosomal RNA, 262 nt
Filed under: uncultured bacterium
Lineage: Bacteria
Description: partial small subunit ribosomal RNA
Rfam family: Bacterial small subunit ribosomal RNA
Source: RNAcentral
AGGACGAACGCUGGCGGCGUGCUUAACACAUGCAAGUCGAACGGAAAGGCCCUUUCGGGGGUACUCGAGUGGCGAACGGGUGAGGUAACACGUGGGUGAUCUGCCCUGCACUUUGGGAUAAGGCCUGGGAAACUGGGUCUAAUACCGAAUACACCCUGCUGGUCGCAUGGCCUGGUGGGGGAAAGCUUUUGCGGUUGUGGGAUGGGCCCGCGGCCUAUCAGCUUGUUGGUGGGGUGAUGGCCUACCAAGGCGACGACGGGUA